CAGUAGCCGCGGGAAUACGGAGGGUGCAAGCGUUAUCCGGAUUUAUUGGGUUUAAAGGGUCCGUAGGCGGACUUAUAAGUCAGUGGUGAAAGCCUGUCGCUUAACGAUAGAACUGCCAUUGAUACUGUAAGUCUUGAGUAUAUUUGAGGUAGCUGGAAUAAGUAGUGUAGCGGUGAAAUGCAUAGAUAUUACUUAGAACACCAAUUGCGAAGGCAGGUUACCAAGAUAUAACUGACGCUGAGGGACGAAAGCGUGGGUAGCGAACAGGAUUAGAGACCCCGGUAGUCCCUGUCUCUUAUAA
This 301-nucleotide ribosomal RNA is filed under the name uncultured bacterium. RNAcentral describes it as "partial 16S ribosomal RNA". It matches the Rfam family "Bacterial small subunit ribosomal RNA", at positions 509 to 809 of the family's 1533-position model. The record is from RNAcentral.